GGAGAGAUGGCUGAGUGGACU
Molecule: microRNA, 21 nt
Filed under: Prunus persica (peach)
Lineage: Eukaryota; Viridiplantae; Streptophyta; Magnoliopsida; Rosales; Rosaceae
Also listed under: 3 other names
Description: microRNA miRNA_120
Source: RNAcentral